GGUAACAAGUAAUGCAGGGCCUUGAUGUUGUGGUGAGCCGUCUUCUACCCUGACCCAGCCAUGGGCAUCAGGCUCCUCAGCUGGGCAGUGCUCUGUCUCCUGGGGUCCGUACUGUCUGAGGUGGGAGUCACUCAGUCUCCCAGACAUGCCAUCAUACAAGAAAGGCAAGAAGUUUCCUUUUGGUGUGACCCUGUUUCUGGACAUGCUACCCUUUACUGGUAUCAGCAGCUCAGAGACCAAGGUCCCCAGCUUUUAGUUUACUUUCAGAAUGAGGCUGUUAUGGAUGAUUCGAAGUUGCCCAAGGAUCGUUUUUCUGCAGCAAGGACUAGAGGAGUCAACUCCACUCUGAAGAUCCAGUCUGCAGAGCAGAGCGACUCAGCCACGUAUCUCUGUGCCAGCAGCUUAAACCACACCAGUGCGGAGACACCUCCCCGCUGCGCACAAAGCUUUCUUCAAAGCCAGCUUUCAGCGGAGACCACUGCUUACUCCAUGUACUUCAUAGACCCAGCGGGUCUUUCGCCAUAG
Molecule: non-coding RNA, 525 nt
Organism: Mesocricetus auratus (golden hamster)
Lineage: Eukaryota; Metazoa; Chordata; Mammalia; Rodentia; Cricetidae
Source: the annotation of a RefSeq genome assembly